Molecule: ribosomal RNA, 407 nt
Filed under: uncultured bacterium
Lineage: Bacteria
Description: partial 16S ribosomal RNA
Rfam family: Bacterial small subunit ribosomal RNA
Source: RNAcentral
GACGCACGCUGGCGGAGUGCCUAAUACAUGCAAGUAGAACGCAGUUGCGAACGGGUGAGUAACGCGUAGGUAACUGCCUCAUAGCGGGGGAUAACUAUUGGAGACGAUAGCUAAUACCGCAUACUGUGAGAUGGACCUGCGUUGUAUUAGCUAGUUGGUGAGGUAAAGGCUCACCAAGGCGACGAUACAUAGCCGACCUGAGAGGGCGUCCGGCCAAACGUGAACUGUGUAAAGGCCACAGCUACUUCGGGAAGCAGCAGUAGGGCAACUUCGGGUAUGGACGGAAGUCCGACCGCGCAACGCUGUGGCAGUGACGCAGGCGUUCGGCCCGUAACGCCCCGUUGUUAGAGUAGCGGUACCUCUCCAGUAAGCGACGGCUAACUACGUGCCAGCAGCCGCGGUAAUUC